This 471-nucleotide ribosomal RNA is filed under the name uncultured bacterium. RNAcentral's name for it is "bacterial SSU rRNA". It matches the Rfam family "Bacterial small subunit ribosomal RNA", at positions 55 to 518 of the family's 1533-position model. The record is from RNAcentral.
AUGCAAGUCGAGGGUAACAGGUAGCAAUACCGCUGACGACCGGCGCACGGGUGAGUAACGCGUAUGCAACCUGCCUAGUAACUGGGGGAAUAGCUCCCUGAAAGGGGAAUUAACACCGCAUAACACUAUUGAUUCGCAUGGAUUAGUAGUUAAAUGUAGCGAUACAGGUUAUAGAUGGGCAUGCGUGACAUUAGCUAGUUGGUGAGGUAACGGCUCACCAAGGCUACGAUGUCUAGGGGUUCUGAGAGGAAGGUCCCCCACACUGGUACUGAGACACGGACCAGACUCCUACGGGAGGCAGCAGUGAGGAAUAUUGGUCAAUGGGCGCAAGCCUGAACCAGCCAUGUCGCGUGCAGGAAGACUAGCCCUAUGGGUUGUAAACUGCUUUUAUAGUAGAAGAAACACAUCUACGUGUAGAUGUCUGCCAGUAUACUAUGAAUAAGCAUCGGCUAACUCCGUGCCAGCAGCCGC